This 497-nucleotide ribosomal RNA is filed under the name uncultured bacterium. RNAcentral's name for it is "partial 16S ribosomal RNA". It matches the Rfam family "Bacterial small subunit ribosomal RNA", at positions 28 to 507 of the family's 1533-position model. The record is from RNAcentral.
GAUGAACGCUGGCGGCGUGCCUAAUACAUGCAAGUCGAGCGAACAGACGAGGAGCUUGCUCCACUGACGUUAGCGGCGGACGGGUGAGUAACACGUGGAUAACCUACCUAUAAGACUGGGAUAACUUCGGGAAACCGAAGCUAAUACCGGAUAAUAUCUUGAACCACAUGGUUCAAUAGUGAAAGACGGUUUUGCUGUACCUAAUAGAUAGAUCCGCGCCUCAUUAGCUAGUUGGUAAGGUAACGGCUUACCAAGGCAACGAUGAGUAGCCGACCUGAGAGGGGGAUCGGCCACACUGGAACUGAGACACGGUCCAGACUCCUACGGGAGGCAGCAGUAGGGAAUCUUCGGCAAUGGGCGAAAGCUUGACGGAGCAACGCCGCGUGGUGGAUGAAGUUCUUCGGAUCUUAAACCUCUGUUAUUAGGGAAGAACAAAUGUGUAAGUAACUAUGCACGUCUUGACGGUACCUAAUCAGAAAGCCACGGCUAACUACGUG